UUUGUAGGCAGAGAAUAACUGUUCAUGCUUCUGAGGGCACUAGGUCUUAUGAUUUCCAUAUGCUUCUGAGCAGCCUCUGAGCAUCCACUGAAACACCAGAGAAUUGGCUUUUGCUUCUACGUGUUGAAUCCUGGCAUACAGUCCCCAACAAACGGAUGCUUUGAUGCUGAUAGUUCAGCUCUGGAUUCCUCUUUUCCUCCAGACCAGAUGUUUGAC
This 216-nucleotide long non-coding RNA is filed under the name Zonotrichia albicollis (white-throated sparrow). Its description in RNAcentral is "lncRNA (ENSZALG00000010804.1)". Lineage: Eukaryota; Metazoa; Chordata; Aves; Passeriformes; Passerellidae. The record is from RNAcentral.